RNAcentral lists this ribosomal RNA (246 nucleotides) under uncultured bacterium. Its description in RNAcentral is "partial 16S ribosomal RNA". It matches the Rfam family "Bacterial small subunit ribosomal RNA", at positions 523 to 769 of the family's 1533-position model. The record is from RNAcentral.
AUACGUAUGUCGCAAGCGUUAUCCGGAUUUAUUGGGCGUAAAGCGCGUCUAGGCGGCUUAGUAAGUCUGAUGUGAAAAUGCGGGGCUCAACCCCGUAUUGCGUUGGAAACUGCUAAACUAGAGUACUGGAGAGGUAGGCGGAACUACAAGUGUAGAGGUGAAAUUCGUAGAUAUUUGUAGGAAUGCCGAUGGGGAAGCCAGCCUACUGGACAGAUACUGACGCUAAAGCGCGAAAGCGUGGGUAGC